RNAcentral lists this ribosomal RNA (314 nucleotides) under uncultured Rhodocyclaceae bacterium. RNAcentral's name for it is "bacterial SSU rRNA". It matches the Rfam family "Bacterial small subunit ribosomal RNA", at positions 1072 to 1382 of the family's 1533-position model. Lineage: Bacteria; Pseudomonadati; Pseudomonadota; Betaproteobacteria; Rhodocyclales; Rhodocyclaceae. The record is from RNAcentral.
UGUUUGGGUUAAGUCCCGCAACGAGCGCAACCCUUGUCAUUUAGUUGCCAUUCAUUUGGUUGGGCACUCUAAUGGAGACUGCCGGUGACAAACCGGAGGAAGGUGGGGAUGACGUCAAGUCCUCAUGGCCCUUUAUGGGGUAGGGCUUCACACGUCAUACAAUGGUCGGUACAGAGGGUUGCCAACCCGCGAGGGGGAGCUAAUCCCACAAAGCCGAUCGUAGUCCGGAUCGCAGUCUGCAACUCGACUGCGUGAAGUCGGAAUCGCUAGUAAUCGUGGAUCAGCAUGUCACGGUGAAUACGUUCCCGGGUCUU